This is a long non-coding RNA of Suricata suricatta (meerkat), 475 nucleotides long. RefSeq lists it as uncharacterized. The transcript has 2 exons. The record is from RefSeq and is a predicted model, not a curated record. NCBI's taxonomy places the organism in Eukaryota, Metazoa, Chordata, Mammalia, Carnivora, Herpestidae.
CUCAAGGACCUGUGGGUUCAAAAUCAGGUUUCCUUGCUCACAGCCAGACCUCACAUUCCUGAAAUGUGAACACGGGAACAUCCCUCUGGCUUUUAGGGGGCUGGUGAUAUAAUAAUUCGAGUCACUUGUGUGGGACCCUCCAGGACCCCUCCCACAAGCCUCCCAAUUCAAAGCCAGCCAGACCCAAACCAGGAGGGGCCUGUGAGUCAUCUUCUGUGCACCCUGCAGGGCGGGUGAGGCCUCGGGCCCCAGACGGAGCAGGGAAGGCAGGGUGCUGGCCUCCUGGCUCACCGGCUCACAUGCCUGCUCUGCACAUACAGGACAAGGCACCCUCCCCGGAGGAGCUCAGCUUCACACCGGAAGAGUCUGGAAGCCUUGGGACAGCAUGAAAGGAAAUCAGACCGGACGAGGAAUCAGGAAAAAUGAAACAAAUCUGGAGCCCAUUAAUAAAGAUCUGGAAAGCUCCUGCUCUGUA